CAGUCGCCGCGGUAAUACGAAGGGGGCUAGCGUUGCUCGGAAUCACUGGGCGUAAAGGGUGCGUAGGCGGGUCUUUAAGUCAGAGGUGAAAUCCUGGAGCUCAACUCCAGAACUGCCUUUGAUACUGGAGAUCUCGAGCUCGGGAGAGGUGAGUGGAACUGCGAGUGUAGAGGUGAAAUUCGUAGAUAUUCGCAAGAACACCAGUGGCGAAGGCGGCUCACUGGCCCGAUACUGACGCUGAGGCACGAAAGCGUGGGGAGCAAACAGGAUUAGAUACCCGGGUAGUCCCUGUCUCUUAUAC
Molecule: ribosomal RNA, 301 nt
Filed under: uncultured bacterium
Lineage: Bacteria
Description: partial 16S ribosomal RNA
Rfam family: Bacterial small subunit ribosomal RNA
Source: RNAcentral